Suricata suricatta (meerkat) is the source of this 135-nucleotide small nuclear RNA. Its record names the gene U4. It matches the Rfam family "U4 spliceosomal RNA". From Rfam's summary of the family: U4 small nuclear RNA (U4 snRNA) is a component of the major U2-dependent spliceosome. The structure of U4 snRNA from yeast and human has been reported. Lineage: Eukaryota; Metazoa; Chordata; Mammalia; Carnivora; Herpestidae. The record is from Ensembl.
AGCUUUGCGCAGUGGCAGUAUCGUAGCCAAUGAGGUUUAUCCGAGGCGCGAUUAUUGCUAAUAAGAUUUCUCCUUUGACCCAUGGACUAUUUAGAUGUUGCCUAGUUUCCAAAUAUUUGGGAUUUUUCUAGAAAU